AACGAACGCUGGCGGCAUGCCUAACACAUGCAAGUCGAACGAGACCUUCGGGCCUAGUGGCGCACGGGUGAGUAACGCGUGGGAACCUGCCCUUAGGUUCGGAAUAACGCCCCGAAAGGGGUGCUAAUACCGGAUAAUGUCUUCGGACCAAAGAUUUACCGCCUUUGGAUGGGCCCGCGUUGGAUUAGCUAGUUGGUAGGGUAAAAGCCUACCAAGGCGACGAUCCAUAGCUGGUCUGAGAGGAUGAUCAGCCACACUGGGACUGAGACACGGCCCAGACUCCUACGGGAAGCAGCAGUGGGGAAUAUUGGACAAUGGGCGAAAGCCUGAUCCAGCAAUGCCGCGUGAGUGAAGAAGGCCUUAGGGUUGUAAAGCUCUAUUACCCGGGAUGAUAAUGACAGUACCGGGAUAAUAAGCUCCGGCUAACUCCGUG
This 433-nucleotide ribosomal RNA is filed under the name uncultured bacterium. RNAcentral describes it as "partial 16S ribosomal RNA". It matches the Rfam family "Bacterial small subunit ribosomal RNA", at positions 29 to 507 of the family's 1533-position model. The record is from RNAcentral.